RNAcentral lists this ribosomal RNA (497 nucleotides) under uncultured bacterium. RNAcentral's name for it is "partial 16S ribosomal RNA". It matches the Rfam family "Bacterial small subunit ribosomal RNA", at positions 28 to 507 of the family's 1533-position model. The record is from RNAcentral.
GAUGAACGCUGGCGGCGUGCCUAAUACAUGCAAGUCGAGCGAACAGACGAGGAGCUUGCUCCUCUGACGUUAGCGGCGGACGGGUGAGUAACACGUGGAUAACCUACCUAUAAGACUGGGAUAACUUCGGGAAACCGGAGCUAAUACCGGAUAAUAUAUUGAACCGCAUGGUUCAAUAGUGAAAGACGGUUUUGCUGUCACUUAUAGAUGGAUCCGCGCCGCAUUAGCUAGUUGGUAAGGUAACGGCUUACCAAGGCAACGAUGCGUAGCCGACCUGAGAGGGUGAUCGGCCACACGGGAGCUGAGACACGGUCCAGACUCCUGCGGGAGGCAGCAGUAGGGAAUCUUCCGCAAUGGGCGAAAGCCUGACGGAGCAACGCCGCGUGAGUGAUGAAGGUCUUCGGAUCGUAAAACUCUGUUAUUAGGGAAGAACAAAUGUGUAAGUAACUAUGCACGUCUUGACGGUACCUGAUCAGAAAGCCACGGCUAACUACGUG